This 891-nucleotide long non-coding RNA is filed under the name Homo sapiens (human). Its description in RNAcentral is "HSALNT0392555". The record is from RNAcentral. Lineage: Eukaryota; Metazoa; Chordata; Mammalia; Primates; Hominidae.
ACAUCUGUACGUUGCAAUCUGUGGAUCAGCUACGAGAUGGAUAUCUGAGAGCCAGCGAACUUUCUUUACCUCCUAGUAUCAUUUCAUGAAAAUUAGUAGCACCUGCACAAUGGGGCCUUGGAGACAGGAAUAAAAGGAAAAAUCUGGAAUGGAAUCACAUGACGCAACAGGCUAUGAAGACUCCCUGCCCGGCUGCUAUAUGUCUGGCUUGCUGGACUUUGGAGAAAAGGCUGACCCUCCCCCAAAGCAGCCCAUUGCUGCCACUGCCCUAGGAACAGAGGGCCUGGAGCCAGGGCUUGACCUGGUACAGGAGCUUUUGCACAAGGCCGGCUCAAACCUCCAAACCUGGGGAAACAGGAUGCAUGGUGAAGUGAAGAAGAAAGAAAAUGCAUCCACCGUUCCUUCCUGUUGGUGUCAGCACGAUGAGGAAUAAUUACCUGGAUCUGGAAAGCAGCACAGCACUGCCUCCUGGUGCGGAUUAUAUUCCAGUUUUCAAAAGGAACCAUAGAAGAUACAAGCAAUACGAUUUUAUUUUGGAGGGAUUUCUAGCAUCAUAGGUCAAAGACGUUAUUAAGUAUCGACUCUGAAAAAGCAACUAUAAAUACUGCAAAUCGACUAAGCCAGAGGACGCAAAUAUAUCCUGCGUGUUGUGUGCUGGACUGUGGUUGAGACUUCAUGGUCGUGCUCUGGGCUCAUGGGGGCAGCUGACUGCUCAUAAUUAAGAUUGCUGUUGCCGCUGCCUGUGUUCCAAAGAGAACACAAGAGGACAGAGCUAAGGUGUAGGAAUGCGGAAGAACUUGCAGAAACUAGAGCUAGUCUUCGGAUUGAAAUGAAUUACCAAUAAAGGGUUGGGAAAUGGAUCAAGGAGAGGGAAGCGUUUUGAUGGUCCCU